AACGAACGCUGGCGGCAGGCCUAACACAUGCAAGUCGAACGCCCUAGCAAUAGGGAGUGGCAGACUGGUGAGUAACGCGUGGGAAUAUCCCCCUCAGUACGGAAUAGCCCAGGGAAACUUGGAGUAAUACCGUAUACGUCCGUGAGGAGAAAGAUUUAUCGCUGAGGGAUUAGCCCGCGUAGGAUUAGCUAGUUGGUGAGGUAACGGCUCACCAAGGCGACGAUCCUUAGCUGGUCUGAGAGGACGAUCAGCCACACUGGGACUGAGACACGGCCCAGACUCCUACGGGAGGCAGCAGUGGGGAAUAUUGGACAAUGGGCGCAAGCCUGAUCCAGCCAUGCUGCGUGAGUGACGAAGGCCUUAGGGUUGUAAAGCUCUUUUGGCGGGGACGAUAAUGACGGUACCCGCAGAAUAAGCCCCGGCUAACUUCGUGCCAGCAGCCGCGGUAAUACGAAGGGGGCUAGCGUUGUUCGGAAUCACUGGGCGUAAAGCGCACGUAGGCGGACUUUCAAGUCAGGGGUGAAAUCCCGGGGCUCAACCUCGGAACUGCCUUUGAUACUGUUGGUCUCGAAUCCGGUAGAGGUGGGUGGAAUUCCUAGUGUAGAGGUG
This 609-nucleotide ribosomal RNA is filed under the name uncultured bacterium. RNAcentral describes it as "bacterial SSU rRNA". It matches the Rfam family "Bacterial small subunit ribosomal RNA", at positions 28 to 683 of the family's 1533-position model. The record is from RNAcentral.